Molecule: ribosomal RNA, 496 nt
Filed under: uncultured bacterium
Lineage: Bacteria
Description: bacterial SSU rRNA
Rfam family: Bacterial small subunit ribosomal RNA
Source: RNAcentral
AAAUGAAUUGACGGGGACCCGCACAAGCAGCGGAGCAUGUGGUUUAAUUCGAUGCAACGCGAAGAACCUUACCAGGACUUGACAUCCCUCAGACUGGAUUAGAGAUAAUCCUUUCUCUUCGGAGACUGAGGUGACAGGUGGUGCAUGGUUGUCGUCAGCUCGUGUCGUGAGAUGUUGGGUUAAGUCCCGCAACGAGCGCAACCCUUGCCUUUAGUUGCCAACAGUUCGGCUGUGCACUCUAGAGGGACUGCCGAUGAGAAAUCGGAGGAAGGUGGGGAUGACGUCAAAUCAUCAUGCCCUUUAUGUCCUGGGCUACACACGUGCUACAAUGGUCGGUACAAUGGGCAGCAACUUAGCGAUAAGAAGCCAAUCCCAUAAAGCCGAUCUCAGUUCGGAUUGCAGGCUGCAACUCGCCUGCAUGAAGCCGGAGUUGCUAGUAAUCGUGGAUCAGAAUGCCACGGUGAAUGCGUUCCCGGGUCUUGUACACACCGCCCGU